RNAcentral lists this ribosomal RNA (229 nucleotides) under Listeria monocytogenes. RNAcentral describes it as "partial 16S ribosomal RNA". It matches the Rfam family "Bacterial small subunit ribosomal RNA", at positions 657 to 884 of the family's 1533-position model. Lineage: Bacteria; Bacillati; Bacillota; Bacilli; Caryophanales; Listeriaceae. The record is from RNAcentral.
GAGAGUGGAAUUCCACGUGUAGCGGUGAAAUGCGUAGAUAUGUGGAGGAACACCAGUGGCGAAGGCGACUCUCUGGUCUGUAACUGACGCUGAGGCGCGAAAGCGUGGGGAGCAAACAGGAUUAGAUCCCCUGGUAGUCCACGCCGUAAACGAUGAGUGCUAAGUGUUAGGGGGUUUCCGCCCCUUAGUGCUGCAGCUAACGCAUUAAGCACUCCGCCUGGGGAGUACG